AACACGUCGAACGCGGUUCGCGGUACCUAGGCCCUCAGUUUUGGAUGUCAAACUAAGGGGUAAGUUUUUUCUUAGACUUUACCUCUCGAUUACAAUCAAUUCUCAUUGUUGCUCCGUUGUUGCGUCUAAAUCUGAGAUAAUUUCAUUGAUAAAGAAACGUUCGCCGCCGCAACUGCCGCGAUUAUAACGUUCAUUCCGUCACUUUGGGCCAAAAUUAUUUUCGUUGUCUUGUUUUUUGUCCCCGAAAAAUGUGAAGGAGUGUCUUUUUGUAUGAGUUGAUUUUUCUCAUGUAAAUUAUAAUCUACAGCGAGAAAGACAUAAAAUAGCACUUUUAUUUAUUUAUUUGAGAGAAGACACAAAUACAAUCGUGACUGAGUGGGCAGAAACAAGACAACGAAAAGAAUUACCCUUUUAUCAAGGAAGGUGUCCGAUACAGCGACAGCAACAACACAACGUGAAGCUGGCCAUACACACUAGGGUACGCCUGCGCAGUUUUGCUAACUGCACAGGUAAAGCUGGCCAUAAUACACACUAGGGUACGCCUGCGCAGUUUUGCUAACUGCACAGGUAAAGCUGGCCAUACACACUAGGGUAUGCCUGCGCAGUUUUGCUAACCGCACAGGUAAAGCUGGCCAUACACACUAGGGUAUGCCUGCGCAGUUUUGCUAACUGCACAGGUAAAGCUGGCCAUACACACUAGGGUACACCUGCGCAGUUUUGCUAACUGCACAGGUAAAGCUGGCCAUACACACUAGGGUACACCUGCGCAGUUUUGCUAACUGCACAGGUAAAGCUGGCCAUACACACUAGGGUACGCCUGCGCAGUUUUGCUAACCGCACAGGUAAAGCUGGCCAUACACACUAGGGUACGCCUCCCAGUAUUGCUAACUGCACAGGUAAAGCUGGCCAUACACACUAGGGUACGCCUCCCAGUAUUGCUAACUGCACAGGUAAAGCUGGCCAUACACACUAGGGUAUGCCUGCGCAGUUUUGCUAACUGCACAGGUAAAUCUGGCCAUACACACUAGGGUACGCCUGCGCAGUUUUGCUAACCGCACAGGUAAAACUGGCCAUACACACUAGGGUACGCCUCCCAGUAUUGCUAACUGCACAGGUAAAGCUGGCCAUACACACUAGGGUACACCUGCUCAGUUUUGCUAACUGCACAGGUAAAGCUGGCCAUACACACUAGGGUAUGUCUGAGCAGUUUUGCCAACUGCACAGGUAAAACGGAGCGUGUGCGGCAUUCGCCUAUGCAGUUUCCUAACCAGCUUUACCUGUGCAGUUGAACUGUACGGGUAAAGCUGCGCAGGCGUACCCUAUUGUAUACACAGCUUAAUGCAGCUGCUGUUGAGAUCUGAAUGUCACCUUAAAGAUAACAUAUCCAGUGUAAAAACUAGACUAAUUGUAUUAUAUAGUUAGUAGUGUAUAUAGAAAGGUAUUUAUUUCUCUUCAAUGUUAAUACUUUAAUCGGGGCAAUAAUUUAUAUUUAAAAAGGUUGUUGAUGUAGUUGUUUUCUUGACACUUUUAUAUUUUAUUUGGAAUCAAAAGAUCUGAGUAAAGACUUGAACACACUGGUGCAUUUGCGAAGUAAAAAUUGGGUAUUAUUUUAUUUUAUUUUUAUUUCUUGGGAAAACUUACAGCUAAUGUAACAAAAUAGGUUUCGAAAUAAAAACAGUAAGCCAAUUACAAGUUUCCACAGGUAGAAACUGCAUAAAGUACCAAACAACUAUAACCAAACGAAUUCUAAUCGCGUAUAUAUUUAUUUUUAAAUUAUAUCGUGUCAAAUUAAUAAACAUAUUUUACGCGAUUAAAUCCCGUGAUCCAGUCAUUAAAAUUUGAAAAAUUGUUUACAUUUGAAUUAAUAAUCAUACUAAAUUUGAAUUUAUCAUAGAAAGUAGGUAAUUGUUGUACCUAACUACCUACCUAACUAGUUUAGCUUUGAAAUUGUAAGUAACAAUGUUUAGUAAAAAAUAUUUUAGUCAAUAUAUUCUUUAUUCAAAUAGGCCUAGCAACAAGCACUUUUAAAUCGUCAAAUUUUAGAAAUAUCAUCUUAAUCUAAAUAUCAGAGCAAAUUAUUGAUGCAGUUAUUAUUGUUCUAAAAAAAACAUUGAAUUAUUAUAGAUAUGGUAAACUUAAUAAUAAGAAUUUCACAAAAGGAUCGAUUUUGAACCCAUUGGAAAUGGCUCCACUGAAAUACUGCGCAAACGCACCAGCCCGAGUCUAUCUUUUAACUACAUUGUCAGCGUGUUAUUAAUCUUCUAGAAUUGUACAAUAAGUAAUUAAGAUAUAUGUGACGUUAUCUAUGAAAAGAGACCUUAUUGUCGAUGGCGCUUCCGCCGUUAUAAACGAUGCUCCGAUACAAAUACAACGCUGCGCGGCGCAGUGCGCCAUAUCGCCAUAAUGCCACAUAUCUUACUAUUUCUUUUGAUACAGGAUCAAAUUUAGUCAUUCGAUCCGUUAAUAUGAUUAACCUUUUGAACGCCACGCCUAUCGUACGCGGCGUGUCGUGAACCUUGUCGGUAUGUAUGAAAGUUGAUAUUGGGCUGUCGCCGCGCGCGUCAUAUGACUUCUGUGGCGGUCAAAAGGUUAAAACCUGGAGAUUCUUUUAGUUAAACAAAUGACCAAAAAAGUGCUUUCAUUGCCCAAAGCGGUAAAAAAGCGCAGAAAUCAAAACCAAGCGUAUUUUGUAUUCACGACAAAUGCGUUUCGUAUAGAGGAAGACUCAUGUUAGACCGGCCCGGGUCCGGGCCUGAGCUUCCGACGCUUACUUUUCUAUGACAGAUGACCGUAUUCUAUGGUGAUCACGUGAUCACCGAUCAUCUAGAUGAUCACGUGGUGCUUUCCAUAUAAAACGAAGUGCCGGAAGCUCGGGCCCGGGCCCGGCCUGGUCUAAAUUGAGUCAUCCCUAAGAUCUAUUCUAAACCGCUGGUUCUAUCUCAGCGCUGGGAAAUGAAGGUCUUGGUCACUUUUUCGACGUACAUCAAAAUUUCAGUUUAUAAUUUACAUAGUGGUAAAAACAACACAAAUUGAAAUAUUUAACAAAAUAAUUUAUAUUAUUUUCUAGCUGUAGCUCAUAAUAUAAAUAUUUUUUGAAAUACACUUUUUUCGUGUGCUGUUUAACUUCUUUUGGCUUGUAACAAAGUGUCCCUAAUUAAUAAUUAUGUACUUUACAUACAUAGUAAAAUAAGAUCAAUGUGGGUUAGACCGGCAUACAAAAUAUAUCACAGGUAAGGCCGUCAUAGAGUAAUAACUCUUGUAAUUUAUACAUUUUCGCUCAGACAAAGUCAGAAAAGAAGAGCUUCACUCUUUCUGCUUUAUCGACCUUUUAUAAACCUUCUGUAAGUGUAAAAGCGACGAAAGAGCGUGUAGACUGUCUUCUCUUGUAGACGGUCUUGCCCGCAUCGAACUUAUAUCUUUCUAGAAGAUUGAAAACACGUAAAUUUUCGACCCGGUCAUAUCAUUUUUAUACUUACAGGUUAAAUUAAUAUUACUGUUAUUAAUAGUACCGAUACGAUCAUAUUAUAAUUAUUACGAAAUACAUGUGUGAAAUCUG
This is a long non-coding RNA of Cydia pomonella (codling moth), 3556 nucleotides long. RefSeq lists it as uncharacterized. The record is from RefSeq and is a predicted model, not a curated record. Lineage: Eukaryota; Metazoa; Arthropoda; Insecta; Lepidoptera; Tortricidae. The transcript has 2 exons.